UAGGGAAUAUUAGAAAUGGACGAAAGUCUGAUCUAGCAACACCGCGUGUGCGAAGAAGGCCUUCGGGUCGUAAAGCACUUUUUGGAAGGAAUAGGAAGGAAUGUACUUCCAGAAUAAGUCUCGGCUAACUACGUGCCAGCAGCCGCGGUAACACGUAGAAGGCAAACGUUAUCCGGAUUUACUGGGCGUAAAGCGCGUGUAGGUGGUACUGUAAGUAGGGCGUGAAAGCUCCUGGCUCAACUGGGAGAGGCCGUUCUAAACUACAGAACUAGAGGAUGGUAGAGGGAGGUGGAAUUCCAGGUGUAGCGGUGGAAUGCGCAGAUAUCCGGAGGAACACCGGUGGCGAAGGCGGCCUCCUGGACCAUUCCUGACACUCAGACGCGAAAGCUAGGGUAGCAAACG
This 402-nucleotide ribosomal RNA is filed under the name uncultured bacterium. RNAcentral describes it as "bacterial SSU rRNA". It matches the Rfam family "Bacterial small subunit ribosomal RNA", at positions 355 to 774 of the family's 1533-position model. The record is from RNAcentral.